RNAcentral lists this ribosomal RNA (494 nucleotides) under uncultured bacterium. Its description in RNAcentral is "bacterial SSU rRNA". It matches the Rfam family "Bacterial small subunit ribosomal RNA", at positions 38 to 507 of the family's 1533-position model. The record is from RNAcentral.
GGCGGCCGUGCUUAACACAUGCAAGUCGAACGGGCUGAAGUGGUAGCUUGCUAUUAUGGAUGCUAGUGGCAAACGGGUGAGUAACGCGUAGGCAACCUGCCCUUCAGAUGGGGACAACACUUCGAAAGAGGUGCUAAUACCGAAUGACGUAUCCAUUCCGCAUGGAGAGGAUACCCAAAGGCCGGGCAACCGGUCACUGAAGGAUGGGCCUGCGUCUGAUUAGCUGGUUGGUGGGGGUAACGGCCCACCAAGGCGACGAUCAGUAGCCGGUCUGAGAGGAUGAACGGCCACAUUGGGACUGAGACACGGCCCAAACUCCUACGGGAGGCAGCAGUGGGGAAUCUUCCGCAAUGGGCGCAAGCCUGACGGAGCAACGUCGCGUGAGUGAAGAAGGUUUUCGGAUCGUAAAGCUCUGUUGAGAGGGACGAGAGGCAAGGCUAGGAAAUGAGCUUUGUAGGACGGUACCUUUCGAGGAAGCCACGGCUAACUACGUG